UGAGACGUCGGCAAGUGGUAAGCCACCAGUUUUUGGUACUGGUAUUCCGCAGGUUCGAAUCCUGCCGUCUCAG
RNAcentral lists this transfer RNA (73 nucleotides) under Spirochaetaceae bacterium. RNAcentral describes it as "tRNA-Gln". It matches the Rfam family "tRNA". Rfam says of the family: Transfer RNA (tRNA) molecules are approximately 80 nucleotides in length. Their secondary structure includes four short double-helical elements and three loops (D, anti-codon, and T loops). The record is from RNAcentral. RNAcentral also lists the same sequence under 1 other name. Lineage: Bacteria; Pseudomonadati; Spirochaetota; Spirochaetia; Spirochaetales; Spirochaetaceae.